GACGAACGCUGGCGGCGUGCUUAACACAUGCAAGUCGAACGGAAAGGCCCUGCUCUUGUGGGGUGCUCGAGUGGCGAACGGGUGAGUAACACGUGAGUAACCUGCCCUUGACUUUGGGAUAACUUCAGGAAACUGGGGCUAAUACCGGAUAGGAGCUCCUGCUGCAUGGUGGGGGUUGGAAAGUUUCGGCGGUUGGGGAUGGACUCGCGGCUUAUCAGCUUGUUGGUGGGGUAGUGGCUUACCAAGGCUUUGACGGGUAGCCGGCCUGAGAGGGUGACCGGCCACAUUGGGACUGAGAUACGGCCCAGACUCCUACGGGAGGCAGCAGUGGGGAAUAUUGCACAAUGGGCGGAAGCCUGAUGCAGCAACGCCGCGUGCGGGAUGACGGCCUUCGGGGUGUAAACCGCUUUCGCCUGUGACGAAGCGUGAGUGACGGUAAUGGGUAAAGAAGCACCGGCUAACUACGUG
RNAcentral lists this ribosomal RNA (468 nucleotides) under uncultured bacterium. RNAcentral's name for it is "partial 16S ribosomal RNA". It matches the Rfam family "Bacterial small subunit ribosomal RNA", at positions 28 to 507 of the family's 1533-position model. The record is from RNAcentral.